RNAcentral lists this ribosomal RNA (1250 nucleotides) under Pediococcus pentosaceus. RNAcentral's name for it is "bacterial SSU rRNA". It matches the Rfam family "Bacterial small subunit ribosomal RNA", at positions 244 to 1478 of the family's 1533-position model. Lineage: Bacteria; Bacillati; Bacillota; Bacilli; Lactobacillales; Lactobacillaceae. The record is from RNAcentral.
GCUUAGGUGGGAGGAGAAAAGGCUCCCCCAAGGCCAUUGAUACGUACCCGCACCGGAGAGGGUUAUUCGCCCCACUUGGGGAUUGAGACCCCGGCCCCAGAUUUCUUACGGGAGGCCACCAGUAGGGAAUUUUUCCACAAUGGACGCAAGUCUGAUGGAGCAACGCCCGCGUGAGUGAAGAAGGGUUUCGGCUCGUAAAGCUCUGUUGUUAAAGAAGAACGUGGGUAAGAGUAACUGUUUACCCAGUGACGGUAUUUAACCAGAAAGCCACGGCUAACUACGUGCCAGCAGCCGCGGUAAUACGUAGGUGGCAAGCGUUAUCCGGAUUUAUUGGGCGUAAAGCGAGCGCAGGCGGUCUUUUAAGUCUAAUGUGAAAGCCUUCGGCUCAACCGAAGAAGUGCAUUGGAAACUGGGAGACUUGAGUGCAGAAGAGGACAGUGGAACUCCAUGUGUAGCGGUGAAAUGCGUAGAUAUAUGGAAGAACACCAGUGGCGAAGGCGGCUGUCUGGUCUGCAACUGACGCUGAGGCUCGAAAGCAUGGGUAGCGAACAGGAUUAGAUACCCUGGUAGUCCAUGCCGUAAACGAUGAUUACUAAGUGUUGGAGGGUUUCCGCCCUUCAGUGCUGCAGCUAACGCAUUAAGUAAUCCGCCUGGGGAGUACGACCGCAAGGUUGAAACUCAAAAGAAUUGACGGGGGCCCGCACAAGCGGUGGAGCAUGUGGUUUAAUUCGAAGCUACGCGAAGAACCUUACCAGGUCUUGACAUCUUCUGACAGUCUAAGAGAUUAGAGGUUCCCUUCGGGGACAGAAUGACAGGUGGUGCAUGGUUGUCGUCAGCUCGUGUCGUGAGAUGUUGGGUUAAGUCCCGCAACGAGCGCAACCCUUAUUACUAGUUGCCAGCAUUAAGUUGGGCACUCUAGUGAGACUGCCGGUGACAAACCGGAGGAAGGUGGGGACGACGUCAAAUCAUCAUGCCCCUUAUGACCUGGGCUACACACGUGCUACAAUGGAUGGUACAACGAGUCGCGAGACCGCGAGGUUAAGCUAAUCUCUUAAAACCAUUCUCAGUUCGGACUGUAGGCUGCAACUCGCCUACACGAAGUCGGAAUCGCUAGUAAUCGCGGAUCAGCAUGCCGCGGUGAAUACGUUCCCGGGCCUUGUACACACCGCCCGUCACACCAUGAGAGUUUGUAACACCCAAAGCCGGUGGGGUAACCUUUAGGAGCUAGCCGUCUAAGUGACAGAGAUCGC